GUGGGACCUGCCUGUCAUAAGAGGAGGGUGGUUCUUCCGGAACCCUUUUCUCUGGUUCCCUGUAAUUAAGCAGGCUUAAGUGAUUUCUCCUGUGUGCUGCUGGGUACUGUGAAGGAAACUCAGGCAAGUUCUGAAAGUGCGACAUGAUGAGGAUAUUGUCACUUCCCACAGAGAACACAGUGACAUACAAUGAUGUACUGGUGAGCUUUACUCGGGAAGAAUGGGCUUUGCUGGAUCCUUCCCAGAAGAGUCUCUACAAAGAUGUGAUGCUCGAAACCUAUAGGAACCUCACUGCCAUAGGCUAUAACUGGGAAGAUCACAAUAUUGAGAAAGAUUGUGAAAAUUCUGGAAGUCACAGAAGGCAUCUUCAAAGAGAUGAACCAAUUAAUAUUGGAGAGAAACCCUAUGAAUGUGUUCAAUAUGAUGGAGCUUUUGUAAGAAAUAAACACCAUCAGAUACAUAAAAGCACGCAUACUGGAUCCUUUAUGUCUUAUGCUGAUCUUCGAAUACAUAGAAGAACACACACUGGAGAAAAAGUCUAUGAUGAUAACCAAUGUGGGAAAGCCUUUGCAGGUCACAGCCAUCUUCAGAUCCAUAAAGGAACAUAUACUGGAGAGAAACCCUAUGAAUGUAACCAAUGUGGCAAAGCCUUUGCAUGUCACAGAUAUCUUCAAACACAUAAAAGAACACAUACUGGAGAGAAACCCUAUGAAUGUAACCAAUGUGGCAAAGCCUUUGUGUGUCACACCUAUCUUCAAAUACAUAAAAGAAUACAUACUGGAGAGAAACCCUAUGAAUGUAAUGAAUGUGGCAAAGCCUUUGCACAAUGUAUUCACCUUCAAAGACAUAAAAGAACACAUACUGGAGAGAAACCCUAUGACUGUGACCAAUGUGGCAAAGCCUUUGCACAUCGUAAACAUCUUCAAAUGCAUAAGGGAACAACACAUAAUGGAGAGAAACCCUAUGCAUGUAAUCAAUGUGGUAAGGCCUUUACAUGUCCCAGCUAUCUUCAAAUCCAUAAAAGAAACCAUACUGGAGAGAAACCCUAUGAAUGUGACCAAUGUGGCAAAGCCUAUGCACGACACAGUUACCUUCAAACACAUAAAAGAACACAUACUGGAGAGAAACCCUAUGAAUGUAACCAAUGUGGCAAAGCCUAUGCACGACACAGUGGCCUUCAAACUCAUAAAAGAACACAUACUGGAGAGAAACCCUAUGAAUGUGACCAAUGUGGCAAAGCCUUUGCAUGUCACGGCUAUCUUCAAGAACAUAAAAGAACACACACUGGAGAGAAACCCUAUGAAUGUAGCCAAUGUGGCAAAGCCUUUGCAUGUCACAGUACUCUUCGAAAGCAUAAAAGAUCACAUACUGGAGAGAAACCUUAUGAAUGUCACCAAUGUGGCAAAGCCUAUGCACAACACAGUUACCUUCAAGCACAUAAAAGAACACAUACUGGAGAGAAACUCUAUGAAUGUCACCAAUGUGGCAAAGCCUUUGCACAUCGCAACCAUCUUCAAAUACAUAAAAAAACACAUACUGGAGAGAAACUCUAUGUAUGUAAUCAAUGUGGCAAGGCCUUUGCUUGUCACAGCUAUCUUCAAAAACAUACAAGAAGACAUACUGGAGAGAAACCCCUAUGAAUGUACCCAAUGCGGCAAAGCCUUUGCACAGUUUGGACGUCUUCAAAGUCAUAAAAAAAAGACAUACUGGAGAGAAACCCUAUGAGUGUAACCAAUGUGGGUCAAGCCUUUGCAAAAUAUUGUCAUCUUCAAAAUCAUAAAAGUUCACAUACUGAAGAGACACCCUGAUGAUGCAGCAGAUGUGGUUAAUGGCUUUGCAUGUUAUGGUGGUCUUAAAAAGUAUUUUAAAAACACAUUCUUGAGAGAAUCCUAUAAAUGUAAUCAAUGUAAUAUAGCCAUUUGUUAACAUUGACCUUCUAAGGCAUGAAACAUAGUUGUGAGAUUUUAGUGGGUGGGUGUGUCUGAUUCCUUUGCCUGCUUGAGAUGCUUUUUCUUCUAUUUAAUUGCUUUGCUAACUUUGAUAUGAGAGUUUGUACCUAUUUUUAUUAAAAUAUGAUAUUCCUUGUUCAUUUAA
RNAcentral lists this long non-coding RNA (2094 nucleotides) under Mus musculus (house mouse). RNAcentral's name for it is "cDNA sequence BC002059". Lineage: Eukaryota; Metazoa; Chordata; Mammalia; Rodentia; Muridae. The record is from RNAcentral.